AUAUAACUAAGCGGAGGAAAAGAAACUAACCAGGAUUCCCCUAGUAACGGCGAGUGAAGCGGGAAAAGCUCAACUUGAAAAUCCGUGUAGCCCCGCUGCACUGAAUUGUAGUCUAUCGAAGCUGUUGUCAGUGACCCUCCCGGGAGAAGUCUCUUGGAACAGGGCAUCAUAGAGGGUGAGAAUCCCGUCUGUGCCCGGGAAGUGGCCACGUACGACACGCUUUCAACGAGUCGAGUUGCUUGGGACUGCAGCUCAAAAUGGGUGGUAAAUUCCAUCUAAGGCUAAAUACUGGCGAGAGACCGAUAGCGCACAAGUA
RNAcentral lists this ribosomal RNA (316 nucleotides) under uncultured Hyphochytrium. RNAcentral's name for it is "partial large subunit ribosomal RNA". It matches the Rfam family "Eukaryotic large subunit ribosomal RNA", at positions 40 to 350 of the family's 3401-position model. The record is from RNAcentral. Lineage: Eukaryota; Hyphochytriomycetes.